CCUAAUAGGACAACAUGAUUAUUUAAAUACUCAAGACAUAGGCCGACAAGGCCGUACAAUCUUUCAUGUAAACGACAUAUGUCUACAAGCCUCUAAAAAUACAUAAAUGUCAUAAAGGUUGGGACAGAGUCCUGCCAUACCAAACAAUACACGUCUAAAAUAUACCAGCCAAAUAAGAAACUCUGAAGCAAUUAGAGCGCACCAACAUCUUCCGCUGAGCUGAUAGCCUACUUGGAGGACUCUCGACCUGUUAUCGGGACUUGCGAGCAUGAAAUACAACGUCCCAUAAGGCAAAAAGGACGUUAGCACAAAAAAAGUACCGAGUAUGUAAGGCACAUAAAUAAAAACAUAAUAGACACGGAGGAAAUACUUGGAUCAACCUGUAAGUCUGAAUAACUUUCUAAAUCAUGAAAUACUUUUAGCGUCAUGCAUAUGUGUAUGAAUGUUAUGUCAUGUAUAGGUAUAUGUCUCAUUACAUCAUCAGCCUAUGAGGGCAUGCCAUCAUAUCAUAUCAACUACUGUGGGAAAAAUCAUCACCUAUACCAGCUGAUCAGGUGGUGGUGUGUAUAUAACGUCAUAACUUUUCCUAUAUCCCAUAUAUAUAUAUACACACACACACACACACACACAUACACACGCAUAUAGAACACUGUGUGAGUCAUAUUUCAGCCACUGUGGGCAACAUCAUCAUCAUAUACCAGCUGAUCAUGUGGUGGGUGUGUAUAUAACGCCAUAACCUUUCCCAUAUCCCAUAUAAUUAUAUAUACAUACAUAUAUACGCAUAUAUAACACCAUCUGAUCAUGGGUCAAUGCACAUGAAUGCAAUGCAUGUAAAGUAUGUUAAUAAAAUCUUUCGGAGCUUCAUAAGAUUAUUUUUCCGUAAUAUCAUAAUGUAAACUCUUUUCAACUUUCGUAUAUUUAUGAAAUCCAUGAAUGGCUGAUAAAAUAUUAUAACACACGAAAAUUCAAGAACAUAAUAGAGUCAUUCAUGGAAUUUGUGCAUUUGUACGUUUUAUUCAUAUCGUAUGGAUUAUGCUAAAAGAAAAAAGGGAUAACCUUCACAUACAUGUUCCUGGAAUUAUUAAAAUGAACCUGCUUCUGCGAAAUAUGAACGAAAUUCACACUUGGACAAACUUGAAAUUUCGGACGAAUUAAUCUGUUUUGAACGAAAUAUUGGCUAAGGAUCGCAUUGUUGAAGUCUUGAAAUAUAACGAAUGUCUCUCAUCUCUCACAUUUUUGGUUUUAAAAACCAAGGAAUGCAAUUGUUGUUUGAUUUUCAAUAAAGGAAAUGUUUCUGAUUUGUCAUAUUUUUGGUCUUAAGGAAUGGGUUCAAACCAAACUUCUUUCCAAUGUUUCUGAAGCUUGGUUGAAGCUUUCAGAAUGGGUUUUUAUCUUAAAAAUCA
Molecule: long non-coding RNA, 1403 nt
Filed under: Nicotiana benthamiana
Lineage: Eukaryota; Viridiplantae; Streptophyta; Magnoliopsida; Solanales; Solanaceae
Description: long non-coding RNA (NBEN_LNC022614)
Source: RNAcentral